UAGGGGAGAGAGGGGGAAAUAGGUUCUGUGGUUAGGAAAUGGAUCAAUGGACUGAUUUGAAACUUGGCAAUAUAGGAGAGUUUUUACAGGCAAAGAAGCAUCAGGAUCAGCCAGUAAAGUUGGCCAUUAAAGACCCUGGAGCCUGUUUAGGCAAACAGUUUACUACUCUCACUUUUCAGUUGAUUUCACUUCAUAAAUUAGCCACUUAAAAGGCAUGAGAUUUGCUGCUCUUGUUGCAUUUAAGACCUUCCGAAGCCGCAGAUCAUGUUCAGCUUUGAUAGAACUCCACACAAUCAUCCACUGAGGUGUCAACUCCAUCAGUGUGCUCAUAUAUUUUGUGUAUAGUUCUAUGGUACACUUUGGGUGCUGAAUCCACACCAAAUGGAAGCCGCAGAAAGCAAUACAUCCCAAAGGGGGCAUUGAAUGUGCAGAGCUUGGAACUAUCCUCUGUGACUUUUAACUGCCAAAAGCCAGAGGAGGCAUCAAGUUUGCUGAAAAAGCAAGCACCUGCAAAUUGUACCGUGAUUUCCUCCCUAGCAGAAAGUUUGAAAUGCUUCCUCGUUACAGGUUUGUUAAGGCUUCUGGGAUCAAGACAAACCCGUAACUUGCCAUUAAGCUUCUCUACAGUAACUAGAGAGCUCACCCAUUCUGUGGGUUCCUCAGUCUUCUCAAUGACCUGUAAAGCCUCCAUCCUUGAUAGCUCCUCUCUGAGUUUGUCACAAAGUGCAACAGGCACUUUUCUGCAUGGAUGGAUCACUGGGGAACUGAUUUAUUUAUUUAGAUUGUAUGUUCACCUGGUAAACAGCCAAGUCCUUCAAAUAUAUAACUCAAAAUCAGUGUCUCAUAUUCUUGUUCCCCAAUGGCUU
Molecule: long non-coding RNA, 866 nt
Organism: Rhineura floridana
Lineage: Eukaryota; Metazoa; Chordata; Lepidosauria; Squamata; Rhineuridae
Exons: 3
Source: RefSeq, a predicted model, not a curated record